RNAcentral lists this ribosomal RNA (451 nucleotides) under uncultured Micromonosporaceae bacterium. RNAcentral describes it as "bacterial SSU rRNA". It matches the Rfam family "Bacterial small subunit ribosomal RNA", at positions 335 to 797 of the family's 1533-position model. The record is from RNAcentral. Lineage: Bacteria; Bacillati; Actinomycetota; Actinomycetes; Micromonosporales; Micromonosporaceae.
UCACCUACGGGAGGCAGCAGUGGGGAAUAUUGCACAAUGGGCGGAAGCCUGAUGCAGCGACGCCGCGUGAGGGAUGACGGCCUUCGGGUUGUAAACCUCUUUCAGCAGGGACGAAGCGUAAGUGACGGUACCUGCAGAAGAAGCGCCGGCCAACUACGUGCCAGCAGCCGCGGUAAGACGUAGGGCGCGAGCGUUGUCCGGAUUUAUUGGGCGUAAAGAGCUCGUAGGCGGCUUGUCGCGUCGACCGUGAAAACUUGGGGCUCAACCCCAAGCCUGCGGUCGAUACGGGCAGGCUAGAGUUCGGUAGGGGAGACUGGAAUUCCUGGUGUAGCGGUGAAAUGCGCAGAUAUCAGGAGGAACACCGGUGGCGAAGGCGGGUCUCUGGGCCGAUACUGACGCUGAGGAGCGAAAGCGUGGGGAGCGAACAGGAUUAGAUACCCGGGUAGUCACA